ACUCCAUAGAUUACAGAGAGGUUCUUCAAGCUUGUGUCCCCAUCAACAGAGUGCACCAUAGCAACAUACGCUAUAAAGGUCCUUGUCCCAUGUUGGGAGCCUGUACCACGGCGGGGUGUGGCCAGACAACAACCAGGUGCACACAGGAUGUCGACGAUGGCGGUGUUUUCUCUGCUUUUAUGUUCCAUCAUACCAGCUUAUAUCAACGCUGACGCUGCAGUUUGUUCUGCCUGUACAGAUGUAUACGAAGGUGCAUCGUCAGAUACAGACUGCACAUACUUGAAAACGUACCUGAAUUGUCUUGAGGUAGCCGCGGGACUGUCAGCUGGGUGUACACUCACAGCGGCUCAGGCCACGGCAAUCAAAGACGCGUCCUGCU
Molecule: long non-coding RNA, 379 nt
Organism: Haliotis rubra (blacklip abalone)
Lineage: Eukaryota; Metazoa; Mollusca; Gastropoda; Lepetellida; Haliotidae
Exons: 3
Source: RefSeq, a predicted model, not a curated record